Molecule: ribosomal RNA, 501 nt
Filed under: uncultured bacterium
Lineage: Bacteria
Description: bacterial SSU rRNA
Rfam family: Bacterial small subunit ribosomal RNA
Source: RNAcentral
AAUAAACGCUGGCGGCGUGCCUAACACAUGCAAGUCGAGCGAGAAAGCUCCUUCGGGAGUUAGUAAAGCGGCGAACGGGUGAGCAACACGUGAGAAUCUACCCUUUAGUGAAGAAUACCCUCGAGAAAUCGAGGCUAAUACUGCAUACGUCCCUUCGGGGAGAAAGAUGGCCUCUUUGCUAUCGCUAAAGGAUGAGCUUGCGUACUAUUAGCUAGUUGGCGGGGUAAAGCCCACAGGCAUGAUGGUUAACCGGCCUGAGAGGGUGUACGGUCACACUGGAACUUAGACACGGUCCAGACUCCUACGGGAGGCAGCAGUGAGGAAUCUUGCGCAAUGGGCGAAAGCCUGACGCAGCGACGCCGCGUGGAGGAUGACGGUUUUCGGAUUGUAAACUCCUGUUAAGCGGGAAGAAAGCCUUGUUUCUAAUACAAGCAAGGUAUGACGGUACCGCUAGAGAAAGCACCGGCUAACUUCGUGCCAGCAGCCGCGGUAAGGUGCGCG